GACGAACGCUGGCGGCGUGCUUAACACAUGCAAGUCGAACGAUGAACCCGGAGCUUGCUCCGGUGGAUUAGUGGCGAACGGGUGAGUAACACGUGAGUAACCUGCCCUUGACUCUGGGAUAACUGCGGGAAACUGUAGCUAAUACCGGAUACGACCCUCGGCGGCAUCGCCAGGGGGUGGAAAGAAUUUCGGUCAAGGAAGGACGCGCGGCCUAUCAGCUAGUUGGUGCGGUGACGGCCCACCAAGGCGACGACGGGUAGCCGGCCUGAGAGGGUGACCGGACACACUGGGACUGAGACACGGGCCAUACUCCUACGGGAGGCAGCAGUGGGGAAUAUUGCACAAUGGGCACAAGCCUGAUGCAGCAACGCCGCGUGAGGGAUUACGGCCUUCGGGUUGUAAACCUCUUUUAGUAGGGAAGAAGCGAAAGUGACGGUACCUGCAGAAAAAGCACCGGCUAACUACGUGCCAGCCGCCGCUGUAA
This 484-nucleotide ribosomal RNA is filed under the name uncultured bacterium. Its description in RNAcentral is "partial 16S ribosomal RNA". It matches the Rfam family "Bacterial small subunit ribosomal RNA", at positions 28 to 523 of the family's 1533-position model. The record is from RNAcentral.